AUGGCGGAGCUGAUCGACCCGUCCACACACACAUGGGACCAGCAGCUCGUGGAGCAAACUUUCUGCGUGGACGAAGCCAUCACUAUCCUGGGCAUUCCCAUCUUUGAACACCAUGAUGACUUUAUUGCCUGGCAGUUUGACAACAAAGGCAGGUUCUCGGUCAGGUCAGCCUACAGAGUACAUGUCGAUCUUCAGAAACGCCAGAGCAGGCACCCAUCGGGCGAAGGAUCCUCUGGGGUAGAUGGUGACAGAAAGUUAUGGAUGAAACUAUGGAAGACCCAAUGUACGGGCAAGGUGCACCAUUUCAUGUGGCGGGUGGCACACAAUAGUCACCCAAUGUUCAGGAACAUUCAGCGUAUCGGCGUGGAACUGGACACGGGCUGCCUGAUGUGCAAACGAUUGCCUGAAGAUGGAGGACACCUUUUCUUGCACUUCAAGGAAGUUAAACUCAUGUGGCGCACUAUGGGAAUGGAGGCUUAUAGGCUGUGGCUCCUGGCAUGUCCUCCCCCCGCCAUUUCCUGGAAUGCAUUUUCUCUUACCUUGAUGAUGUUUCGCUCAAGAUCACUUGCCUCCUAUGGAUGUGGUGGACCGAGAGGAACAAAGUGA
Molecule: ribosomal RNA, 606 nt
Filed under: Triticum aestivum (bread wheat)
Lineage: Eukaryota; Viridiplantae; Streptophyta; Magnoliopsida; Poales; Poaceae
Description: partial small subunit ribosomal RNA
Source: RNAcentral